RNAcentral lists this ribosomal RNA (261 nucleotides) under Enterobacter asburiae. Its description in RNAcentral is "partial 16S ribosomal RNA". It matches the Rfam family "Bacterial small subunit ribosomal RNA", at positions 1108 to 1371 of the family's 1533-position model. Lineage: Bacteria; Pseudomonadati; Pseudomonadota; Gammaproteobacteria; Enterobacterales; Enterobacteriaceae. The record is from RNAcentral.
UCCUUUGUUGCCAGCGGUCCGGCCGGGAACUCAAGGAGACUGCCAGUGAUAAACUGGAGAAGGUGGGGAUGACGUCAAGUCAUCAUGGCCCUUACGAGUAGGGCUACACACGUGCUACAAUGGCGCAUACAAAGAAAAGCGACCUCGCGAGAGCAAGCGGACCUCAUAAAGUGCGUCGUAGUCCGGAUUGGAUUCUGCAACUCGACUCCAUGAAGUCGGAAUCGCUAGUAAUCUUAGAUCAGAAUGCUACGGUGAAUACGU